Molecule: long non-coding RNA, 1718 nt
Organism: Phasianus colchicus (ring-necked pheasant)
Lineage: Eukaryota; Metazoa; Chordata; Aves; Galliformes; Phasianidae
Source: Ensembl
GUCUUCUCACAGAGUAUUUGGAACUGAGGCACUUUGUUUGUGAAAUGAUUGGACAGUGUGUCUAGAAGAGCCCAUGAGGAUAGCAAUAAUUAUUUUCCAGAUUAAGAUUGACUGUUGUUCAUUAAGUGAGGUGGUGGGCCGCGUACUGAAGCAGAAGGGGAAAAUUAAGUGACAAAUGACAUAAAAGCCUUCUUCUGUUCUUUCUCUCUGCUACAUGCAGAAGAAUGGGGAAGACAGUGAUAGCGCUAUGAUAAUAGGGUAGAAGGAUAUAUUAUAAUUCAUUCCUCCAAAGAGGGAAAUAAAGUUGCUUGUUCAAUGUCUUGGGGGAGAAGCUGAUUUUGUAGGCUUCAUGAUCUAUGUUUUUGUUUUGUAGUAAAUGUGUGCACAUACAUGCAAUCAUUUAAGUGGUUUGAGUAGGUGUAAUUUUCAUUCUCACUUGGUUAAUCACUUCACAGAAUGAGAACUGAGUUAAAACUUUCAUUGCAGGGAACCUCACAGUGAAUAUGUGAAUAUCUCCCCGAAGGAGGGUAGUUUGUUCCACCUAUUAAUCCUGUGUCAGCUCUGCAUAGGCAGUGAGGGAGCUGUAGCUCCAGUUUCCAAACCCUUUUGCUAUAAUACUUUGAUUUUUCUAGCGAAGUCCUUGUUUUCCUCUGAUUAUGUUCUUAACUUACUGCAUAUUUUGCUGAAGGAUCCUCAGAGUACCCACAAGGACCUGUGAGAUCAAGAACUGAUUAGAGUCAGGCAGGGAAAGACAUGCAUAAGAGGGAAUGAAGAUGGCAAUCUCAGGUGCACUUCAAGUCUCAGACAGCACCAGCUGAAACUUUCAGCCUGCUUAGCAUCGCCUUCUUUUAAAUCUUUCUGUUCGCUAUAACUUGAGUCUCUAGAGAAGGAUGGUGGUGGACAGCCAGUUCACUGUUCACGUUGAUAGGUAAGUUAGCAGUAUAUCAGAAGAAUUCUUUGAAAAAAGUUAUAAACGCUAAGGAAGUGGUUGCAUGCAAUUUUCAACAUAUUUUAGCUGCUUGUUAGUUCAAGGAAAUUGUGUUCUACUGAAUGCAAAAGCACAUCUCUUUUUUCUUUGUAUGUUUGCAGCAGCAGGUAGGUGGUGAGCUGUGUGAAGCAUCCUGAGUAGGGAUGAAUGAGCCGCUUUGAAAGAAGAAAGUCUCUCCCAGGAUUUUGCCAGCUUUUUGAACUUGACUUUUAACUUGUUUUGGGAAUUGUCACAUUUUAUUUAGGCUUAGACAUGAAAAGGGCAUACAUCUUGGAGGAUAGUUUUUCCUUCUGAGGAUUCCAGAUAAACACUGGAAAAUCAAGCUUAGUAGAUGCUAGAACGCUUUUAGAAUACUUUUCAAAACAAAGAUGGAGUGGUAGCUCAGGCCCAUCAGAGAGCUCAUCAUGGCCAUUGUGAACUCAGAUUUUUGAAGGAAGAGGCAAGGAACAGAAAUUACUGCAUAAAUCAUCUGCAGACAGAAUCAAUGUGUGUCCUCAUUUUGUUUAACCUAGUAAAGUUGGUGAGAGAUCUGCUGUAGUAGGGAAGCUGCAAUCGUGCAUGACUCAUGAGGAGACUUUUGGCUAAUCUGACCAUUUGAGGACGCUGAAUAGCUUAGUGAAACACAUUUUGGACAACUACAUUUCCAACCCAUUCUGUGUGAACCAACUGUGUUUCACAGAGCAGCUGCGAUAACCUCUGACUAAUUGGCUUUUUGGAAGGUUACCUGCUG